GAUGAACGCUGGCGGCGUGCCUAAUACGUGCAAGUCGAGCGAACGGACGAGAAGCUUGCUUCUCUGAUGCUAGCGGCGGACGGGUGAGUAACACGUGGAUAACCUACCUAUAAGACUGGGAUAACUUCGGGAAACCGUAGCUAAUACCGGAUAAUAUUUUGAACCGCAUGGUUCAAAAGUGAAAGACGGUCUUGCUGUCACUUAUAGAUGGAUCCGCGCUGCAUUAGCUAGUUGGUAAGGUAACGGCUUACCAAGGCAACGAUGCAUAGCCGACCUGAGAGGGUGAUCGGCCACACUGGAACUGAGACACGGUCCAGACUCCUACGGGAGGCAGCAGUAGGGAAUCUUCCGCAAUGGGCGAAAGCCUGACGGAGCAACGCCGCGUGAGUGAUGAAGGUCUUCGGAUCGUAAAACUCUGUUAUUAGGGAAGAACAUAUGUGUAAGUAACUGUGCACAUCUUGACGGUACCUAAUCAGAAAGCCACGGCUAACUACGUG
This 497-nucleotide ribosomal RNA is filed under the name uncultured bacterium. Its description in RNAcentral is "partial 16S ribosomal RNA". It matches the Rfam family "Bacterial small subunit ribosomal RNA", at positions 28 to 507 of the family's 1533-position model. The record is from RNAcentral.